UUGAUUUCUUUCUCAUUUCUCUUCGAUUUAUCGCCUCCUGCGGUUGGUUGGUCUCUCAAUUUCUCUCUCGAGCGCGUGAUUUUGUUCAUUUCUCAGUGUGUAGCUUCCAUAUCUAGGGGUCAGUUGCUGAUGUGAUUUUGAUAGGGUUCUUGGUAGGUGUGUGUUGUGAUCCGGGGCCGUGUUGUUGUAGAUUCAUGGUAGGUGCUUGUAGUUUUAGUGGUUCGUUCUGGUUCGCGUCGUCCCGCUGUCGUUCAUCAUCUGCUUCGUGUUGUCCGCCAUUUUGUUCCUCGUCUACUCGUGGUAGGUUCAACGUGUUCAGUUUUUGUGAUUCAGAUAGAUGUAUGGAUCAGUUAUAGGGUUUUGAGAUGGGAGUUUUUGUGGUUUUGGGUUUGUGAUUUGCAUUGGUAGGUGGUUUGUUUGUUCACUGGUAGAUGGGUGUUGCCUCCUCUGGCUGUGUUGGUUUCUAGGGUUCCUCCUGUGCCCGCUGUUGCAGGUCCCUUUUAUCAUGUGAGUGGAUAAAUCGCUCUUAGUGUUGGUUUAGAUGUACUUAGGUUCCUUCUUCUUAAUGCCAUGGUAAUUGUGUGUGUGUGAUGCAGGUUUGUAUCUUUUCCUUUGUGCCGUUGAUGUGUAUUUUUGCCUGAGUCUUACUGUGUAAUCCACAUAGUUUUAGUGUGCAAAUUGCAAAUCUAGUUUCUGUUUAUUCCAGUAGAUCAUCCCAGUAGUAGUCUGAUGCCAUUGAAAUGUUUCUGUUUAUGCUAAUUGUCAUGCAUCUUAUUUUCCACGAACUAUAGUGGAAUUUAACUGUGAUUUACACUAUAAUAUAGGACAUGAUUCCAUUGUAAUAUGCCUAAUAUUUGCACUGUAAUUUACCAACUGUAGUAUACCCCAUAAUUACAGUGUAAUUUCUAUGCUUCAUCACUGUAUCUACCCCAGAUUUACACUGCAAUUUAUAUGCUUCAAAACUGUAAUAACAUCUGGAUUUACCUCUGAAUUGCUGUAGGGCUUACACUGUAAUAUACCGCAGAUUUACACUGUAAUUUGUAUGCUUCAGCACUGUAAAUGUUGUAUGAUUUACACAGUAAUUUUUGGACUGAGUAUAGUGGAUUUUACCUCUGUAUUGAUGUAGGGCUUAUACUGUAAUAUACUGCAGAUUUACACUGUAAUUUGUAUGCUUCAGUACUGUAAAUUUGUAGGUCUUACACAGUAUAUGUCAGAUGAUUGACCUCUCAUUUUUUACAGUGAUUUCCAUGCUUUUAGCUCUGUACUUCAUGUAGUUUCUUGCAUUUAUUUCUUUUUUUCAUGUGCAAGUGUGUCUCUGUGGCAGUAGUAUUGAGCGAGGUCCUGUUUUUCACUCUGUAAUUAUAGUAUUUUUACUGUAUAUUUUUGCCUCAGACUUAUUGUGUAAUCUUCAGACUUACUAUGCAAAUUACAUGGUAGUUUCUGUGUAAGUCAGCCCAUAGUUUCAGUGUUUCUUCACAUAAUUACUAGUAUUUACUGUGUAUGUUUGCCCCAUUUUUACUGUGUAAUUCAUCAUGUAGUUACAUUGUAAUUUACUAUAGAAUUAUUGUGUAAUUCAUCAUGCAGCUCUAGUGUAAUUCAAUGUAGAAUUACUUUGUAAUUCAUGCUGUAUUUUACUAUGUAAUUCAUUAUGCAGUUUCAGUGUAAUUCAUGCCGUAGUUUUACUGUGUAAUUCAAAGCAGAAUUACUGUUUUGUAGCUUCAGUGUAAUUCACCCUAGAAUUAAAUUGUAUUUUUGCCCAAUAACCACUGUGUAAUUCAUCAUAUAGUUCAGUGUAUCUUGUCCUUAGUUUUCAGUGUAAUUUACACAAUUUACUGAUUCCAGUGUAAUUUCCCCUAGAAUUACGAUGGUUUACAUUGUAGCUACAAUGUAUAUUCCCAGAUUUUUGCAAUGUAUUUACAUUGAUUCAGUUAUGUAAUCUGUCAUGCUGAUUUUCACUGUACCCCUAGUCUUUAUUCUGAAUUUUUACAGUGUACCCCUAGUUUUACCGUGUUGCUUAUUAUAUGUAUUUUACAGUGUAAUCUUUGCCCUAAUUUACAGUGUAAUAUUCAUGCUUUUAGCACUGUGAUUUAUAGGUUCAGUUUAAUGGGUAAGCUUAACAGUGUGAGUAACAGUACAAUUUGCAGUAGUAUUUUAACAGUGUAAGUACAGUAGGUUUGUUCCAGUCUAAGUUUUGAUGCAUUUUAACAUUCAUACACUGAAAUUUCUAUGGCAUUUUCCACUGAAAUUUCCAUGCAAUUUUCACUGUAAUUUCUUCAAUUUCCACUGUAAUUUCUAUGCAAUUUGCACUGGGAAUUACUAUGUAAUUACUAGGGGAUUUUUGCACUGUAAUUCUUGGUCUGUUUAGUCAGUUUUUAGUGUAAUUACUAGGGGAUUUUCCACUGUAAUCCUUGGUGUGCUACUGUUCUUUCUAGAUUCAAUCAGGCACUAUGUGUUCUUGCAGUGUAAAUUAUAAAAUUAUCCAAGUUCUGCCUACUGCUAGUGAUGAAUUAUUUCCAGAGUAUCUAGUUUUUGUCUACUGAUUGUUUCUUAACCUGUAUCUAGUUUCUGCGACACAUUUUGUUUUUGCAGAUUUCCUUCUAAGAGAGGUGAAGGGGCUGAAGAAUUGAAGUGCUAGGGGGUAGCAGUAGUUUUUUUGUUCCUGACUUGUUGAUUUUUCUGGGAUUUCCCCAAUUACCUAAGCGGGUGAAGAAUUGAAGAUGUUGUUGUUCCUUCUUGCUCGUCUCCAGGUGAGAUCUCUGCUGCUGUUAUGUAGCAAGUUGAUGGCCAACUGUUUGCUGUGGUCCAGCGAGGCUGCCGUGCAGCGAGGUUUGGUGGUGGUGUCGGUUUAGUUGAAACCGGGCCAGGGUUUUGCCCGACCCGUUUAACCCGAAAUAAGAAAACCAACAACGACCCGUGGGGUGGGGGGUUUGGGACAAACAUGUGUCAUCUGUUCAUUGGUUGGGGAAUUUGAAUGUUGUUGAAUUGAAAAACAGUCAAAUGUCAAAUAGACAGUCCCGCUUUGUAAUUACUUCAGAGUAGUGCGUUUUUGUUGUCCAGGUUGAACUGAGCACGGUUAAUGCAUUUUAUUACACAUUUAUAUGUAGAAAUAGAUGAUAAAGAGCUA
Triticum dicoccoides is the source of this 3124-nucleotide long non-coding RNA. RefSeq lists it as uncharacterized. The record is from RefSeq and is a predicted model, not a curated record. The transcript is spliced from 2 exons. NCBI's taxonomy places the organism in Eukaryota, Viridiplantae, Streptophyta, Magnoliopsida, Poales, Poaceae.